UGGGGAAUUUUGGACAAUGGGCGAAAGCCUGAUCCAGCAAUGCCGCGUGUGUGAAGAAGGCCUUCGGGUUGUAAAGCACUUUUGUCCGGAAAGAAAUCCUCUGGGUUAAUACCUCGGGGGGAUGACGGUACCGGAAGAAUAAGCACCGGCUAACUACGUGCCAGCAGCCGCGGUAAUACGUAGGGUGCAAGCGUUAAUCGGAAUUACUGGGCGUAAAGCGUGCGCAGGCGGUUUUGUAAGACGGAUGUGAAAUCCCCGGGCUUAACCUGGGAACUGCAUUCGUGACUGCAAGGCUAGAGUAUGGCAGAGGGGGGUAGAAUUCCACGUGUGAACAGUGAAAUGCGUAGAGAUGUGGAGGAAUACCGAUGGCGAAGGCAGCCCCCUGGGCCAAUACUGACGCUCAUGCACGAAAGCGUGGGGAGCAAACAGGAUUAGAUACCCUGGUAGUCCACGCCCUAAACGAUGUCAACUAGUUGUUGGGGAUUCAUUUCCUUAGUAACGUAGCUAACGCGUGAAGUUGACCGCCUGGGGAGUACGGUCGCAAGAUUAAAACUCAAAUGAAUUGACGGGGUCAUAGCUG
Molecule: ribosomal RNA, 580 nt
Filed under: uncultured bacterium
Lineage: Bacteria
Description: partial 16S ribosomal RNA
Rfam family: Bacterial small subunit ribosomal RNA
Source: RNAcentral